Molecule: ribosomal RNA, 253 nt
Filed under: uncultured bacterium
Lineage: Bacteria
Description: partial 16S ribosomal RNA
Rfam family: Bacterial small subunit ribosomal RNA
Source: RNAcentral
UACGUAGGGCGCGAGCGUUGUCCGGAAUUAUUGGGCGUAAAGAGCUCGUAGGUGGCUUGUCGCGUCUGCCGUGAAAGCCCGUGGCUUAACUACGGGUCUGCGGUGGAUACGGGCAGGCUAGAGGCUGGUAGGGGCAAGCGGAAUUCCUGGUGUAGCGGUGAAAUGCGCAGAUAUCAGGAAGAACACCCGUGGCGAAGGCGGCUCUCUGGGACGGUACUGACGCUGAGACGCGAAAGCGUGGGGAGCGAACAGG